GGAGGGUCCAAGCGUUAUCCGGAUUUAUUGGGUUUAAAGGGUACGUAGGCGGAAUUUUAAGUCAGUAGUGAAAUCCCAUCGCUCAACGAUGGAACUGCUAUUGAAACUGAAUUUCUUGAAUAUAGUUGAAGUAGGCGGAAUACGGCAUGUAGCGGUGAAAUGCAUAGAUAUGCCGUGGAACACCAAUCGCGAAGGCAGCUUACUAAGCUAUUAUUGACGCUAAGGUACGAAAGCGUGGGUAGCGAACAGGAUUAGAUACCCUGGUAGUCCACGCCGUAAACGAUGAUUACUCGGUGCUGGCGAUACACUGUCAGUGCCUAAGCGAAAGCGAUAAGUAAUCCACCUGGGGAGUACGAUCGCAAGGUUGAAACUCAAAGGAAUUGACGGGGGCCCGCACAAGCGGUGGAGCAUGUGGUUUAAUUCGAUGAUACGCGAGGAACCUUACCUGGGCUUAAAUGCAUAAUGACAGGCUGAGAAAUCAGUCCUUCUUCGGACAGAAUGCAAGGUGCUGCAUGGCCGUCGUCAGCUCGUGCUGUGAGGUGUCGGGUUAAGUCCCAUAACGAGCGCAACCCCUAUCUUUAGUUGCCAGCGAGUAAUGUCGGGGACUCUAGAGAAACUGCCCGUGCAAACGGUGAGGAAGGUGGGGACGACGUCAGGUCAUCACGGCCCUUACGUCCAGGGCUACACACGUGCUACAAUGGUAGAGACAGAGGGCAGCCACCCGGUGACGGGGAGCUAAUCCUUAAACUCUAUCUCAGUUCGGAUUGAAGUCUGCAACUCGACUUCAUGAAGCUGGAAUCGCUAGUAAUCGCAUAUCAGCCACGAUGCGGUGAAUACGUUCCCGGGCCUU
This 850-nucleotide ribosomal RNA is filed under the name uncultured organism. RNAcentral's name for it is "bacterial SSU rRNA". It matches the Rfam family "Bacterial small subunit ribosomal RNA", at positions 527 to 1382 of the family's 1533-position model. The record is from RNAcentral.